This 427-nucleotide ribosomal RNA is filed under the name uncultured beta proteobacterium. RNAcentral's name for it is "bacterial SSU rRNA". It matches the Rfam family "Bacterial small subunit ribosomal RNA", at positions 355 to 774 of the family's 1533-position model. The record is from RNAcentral. Lineage: Bacteria; Pseudomonadati; Pseudomonadota; Betaproteobacteria.
UGGGGAAUUUUGGACAAUGGGCGAAAGCCUGAUCCAGCCAUGCCGCGUGAGUGAAGAAGGCCUUCGGGUUGUAAAGCUCUUUUAGUCGGAAAGAAAGAGUUGCAAUGAAUAAUUGUGAUUUAUGACGGUACCGACAGAAAAAGCACCGGCUAACUACGUGCCAGCAGCCGCGGUAAUACGUAGGGUGCGAGCGUUAAUCGGAAUUACUGGGCGUAAAGGGUGCGCGGGCGGUCUUGCAAGUCAGAUGUGAAAGCCCCGGGCUUAACCUGGGAAUUGCGUUUGAAACUACAAGGCUAGAGUGCAGCAGAGGGGAGUGGAAUUCCAUGUGUAGCAGUGAAAUGCGUAGAGAUGUGGAAGAACACCGAUGGCGAAGGCAGCUCCCUGGGUUGACACUGACGCUCAUGCACGAAAGCGUGGGGAGCAAACA